AUAUAUGUAGAUAUAUAGAUUUUUUCCUAGAAUAUAUAUGUGUAAAUUUUUUACGUCAAGUAUAUUUCUACUUUUUUCCCCUAAGGUUUUCAGUGGCCCCUCCAAGCUGAGCUAAAUGCAAAGCUGUGUCCCAGUGUCACAGCCCUUUUCUUCUCCUCGCCUCCCUGCCUGAGAGCAGAACGGCUGCCGCUUACCUUGAGAAAGUAACAGCUGCUGAGUCUGGAAGCCAUGCUAACAGCAGUAAAACUCAGCAUUUUUGCUGAGUAGGGCAAGCCUUUAAGAGGCAGCUGGGAAUCAAAUCAAUGGCUGGCCCCAGAGCCCAAGCCCAACAGUACCAAGGCCGGGUGGCCGAGGGACCUACCUAGAGAGCCUCCCAGGAGGUGGAGGAAACAAGAAAGAGGGCCUUGACCCAAACUGCUUUUAUGGCUGAGAUUCUUCCACCGCCCACCUGCCCUUGACAGUAUUUUGGUGCCAAGUGAGAGAUGCAAUGUGCAAACCGACAGCAAUUUAAGUCAAUUACUGCCACAUUCUGUCAUGAGUUCCCCACUCACAGCCCCUUUUCAAAUCGUAGAUCUCCCUCAGUACUGAAAUAAUUCUCUCUCUCUUUCUCUCUCUCUCUCUGUCUCCCCCCACCUCUCUGCCUUCUCCCAAUAUCCUUCUAACUCCAGUGGAGCCAUGGAGAGGCAUAUUUAGGAAGAGAUUCUCUGGGGGCUUCCCUGACUGAAAUGGGGAAAGAUGAAUCUAUCUUAGGAAAGUGCCCCAUCCAUCUCCUUCCAUAUCAUCCAGAGCUGCCCUUAAAUGAAAUUUCCUCUGAGACCCUUUGCAACUGUGAUGGAUAAGCAAGUCCCCGAGGACGCUUUCUCCUUUUCCCUGAGGGGGAUCCAUGCAAACUUGCCCAGAUCCUCCCCCAAAGCACCAGAAGCCUGAGGGGCUGUGUUGAUUGCCAAGAGGGAGGCAGGGUAGAUCCCUAUCCCAGACUUGCCAAGCCCCAGAUAAGGAGCCCAACACCGACUUCCCCUUUUCUCUGUCACCCACUAUCCAGUGUCUCCAAAUUCCCAUCAGAAUCCUGGAGUCUGCCCAGUGUGGAAUUUAAAGUGACAGCGUCUCAUUUGUCUCGGGGCUUGGCCAUGUCUCUUUCAUACUAAGCGGUGGGUCCCAGUGUAGCAGGAUUCCAUCGUUUGGAGGAAUUUUCCUUCAAGGGUACCAACGCUGGGCUAAAUAAGGUGUCAUCUACAUACAGCCCCAUAAUUCUCCCUAAAUCCCAAGCCCAGAGCCCCUAGAGGAAGUCCACAGUGGGUUUCCCGAUGACUACGUGAUCUUGUAGUAAAGGGGUCCCAUUCCGUGUAAGCUGGAGAGAUCCCAUUAAAAAGACACACGAGCGCACACAUACAAACACAUACGUACAAACAUGCACACACACAUCGCGCCGUAAGUAGGUUAUAGAACCUCUCUCUCUUCACCCCUCCCAUACACACACACACACACACACACACAUCACAAACACACGCAUCAAACGCAAACGACGCCGCACACGCACACUCACACUAGCACCACACCAAGUUCCCACCAUGGUGCACACGUCGGGAGCGCGCGGGGACACACACACCACUCACUCCAACCCGCAGUUAACCCUUCCAGCCCUGGGCGCAGGAACCCCUUCCCUGGAGCCGGAGAAGACUUGGAGGCGGCGGGGCGGCCAGCUCUCAGAGAAGAAAUCUGAUGGAUUCAGCUGACCCUACCAGGACAAGCUAUUUCAUGCUUCACUACCAGCCAACAAAUUGAUUCUUCCUAUAUCAAGUGACAAUGCAUAGUCCAAUUACUUCUCCUGAAUGUUAUUGUCUGUGGCAGCCAGCAGACAAUCUUCCAGGGACUCCUGCCAUACUCUGCAAUUAUAUAUGUCAUUUGGGCACCAAAUCUGGCCACAUGACUGCUCCUGCAUCUGGCAUGCCCCUGUACAUCCUGACCCUAAUGAUAUCCAAAUAUUGGCCAUGCUGGGCAUGGCUAUAAUGAAGAGAAGAAAGAGGAUGAUGGUAGAGAAGAAAAAUAACCUAUUCUGAAUUUUAACCUGAGUUCCAGGUCCUGUGCUAAUGGCUUCAUAGAGAUGAAUGAGACAUGGAGCCUCCUGUGUGGAGCUCACAACGUGAUCAUGAUGUGGUAAGCAUUUUGGAAACAAGCCACAACACAGAAGCUAGCACAUUUUGUUCUAUUGAUAGGAUCACCUAAGACUUCACAGGACAGAUGGCACUUGAUCUGGGCCUUCAAGGUUGACCCAUGCAUGUGACCAAUCAUUCACUUUGUCAUUCAUUCAUUCUUCCAUAGUUCAAGUACCAUUUUUGUGUUGGGCUUUUGGCUAAGCACUGGGCAUACAGAGAUAAUCAAACCUGAUGUAUGUAUCCAUUCACACAGCCUGAUGGUGGGGAGGGGAACACGCAAAUGACUAUUAUAUACAGUAUCACAUUACGAUGGUAGAAAUUAGUCACAUUCAAGGUGCAAUUGGAUCAUUCAUGGAAAACAUAUCCAAGUCUGCAUGUGAGGAUUAAGAGAGUUGUCAUAGUAAAACAUGGGUUAAAUUAAUAUUAAAAUAAGUCAAUCACCAA
Molecule: long non-coding RNA, 2597 nt
Organism: Sapajus apella (tufted capuchin)
Lineage: Eukaryota; Metazoa; Chordata; Mammalia; Primates; Cebidae
Exons: 3
Source: RefSeq, a predicted model, not a curated record